RNAcentral lists this ribosomal RNA (821 nucleotides) under uncultured Bacillota bacterium. Its description in RNAcentral is "bacterial SSU rRNA". It matches the Rfam family "Bacterial small subunit ribosomal RNA", at positions 608 to 1437 of the family's 1533-position model. Lineage: Bacteria; Bacillati; Bacillota. The record is from RNAcentral.
CUUAACUAUUGUUCGCCUUGCGAACUGGGUCACUUGAGUACAGGAGAGGAAAGCGGAAUUCCUAGUGUAGCGGUGAAAUGCAUAGAUAUUAGGAGGAACACCGGUGGCGAAGGCGGCUUUCUGGACUGCAACUGACACUGAGGCACGAAAGCGUGGGUAGCAAACAGGAUUAGAUACCCUGGUAGUCCACGCCGUAAACGAUGAGCACUAGGUGUCGGCCACUAAAGGUCGGUGCCGCAGUUAACGCAUUAAGUGCUCCGCCUGGGGAGUACGCACGCAAGUGUAAAACUCAAAGGAAUUGACGGGGACCCGCACAAGCAGCGGAGCAUGUGGUUUAAUUCGAAGCAACGCGAAGAACCUUACCAGAGCUUGACAUCCCUCUGACAGAUCCUUAAUCGGAUUCUUCUUCGGACAGAGGAGACAGGUGGUGCAUGGUUGUCGUCAGCUCGUGUCGUGAGAUGUUGGGUUAAGUCCCGCAACGAGCGCAACCCUUAUCAUUAGUUGCCAUCAUUAGGUUGGGCACUCUAGUGAGACUGCCGGGGACAACUCGGAGGAAGGUGGGGAUGACGUCAAAUCAUCAUGCCCCUUAUGUUCUGGGCUACACACGUGCUACAAUGGUCGGUACAGAAAGCAGCGAAACCGUGAGGUGAAGCCAAUCUCCAAAACCGAUCUCAGUUCGGAUUGUAGGCUGCAACUCGCCUACAUGAAGUCGGAGUUGCUAGUAAUCGCAGAUCAGAAUGCUGCGGUGAAUGCGUUCCCGGGUCUUGUACACACCGCCCGUCACACCAUGGAAGUUGGGGGUGCCCGAAGUUGGACAAUAA